GCCUCUUCGAUGGCCAGCCUCGGACGCUGCCCUCUUUCUGGCAAUAUGUUGACGAAUAUCGACGCUCGACACUCGCAUCCUCGACUGUAUGGCUGCAAUUACAACAGAAGUCAGUACAACUCAACAAAUAAAAGAAAAGUGAAGUCCGAAAUAACCGACCGACUAUACUAUACCUAGACAGGCAAUUGAAUUAAGGCCGGUGUCAUAAAGAGCAUGUUCGG
This 221-nucleotide long non-coding RNA is filed under the name Elaeis guineensis (African oil palm). RNAcentral describes it as "long non-coding RNA (EGUI_LNC030314)". The record is from RNAcentral. Lineage: Eukaryota; Viridiplantae; Streptophyta; Magnoliopsida; Arecales; Arecaceae.